RNAcentral lists this non-coding RNA (115 nucleotides) under uncultured Ruminococcus sp. RNAcentral describes it as "FMN riboswitch (RFN element)". It matches the Rfam family "FMN riboswitch aptamer (RFN element)". Rfam says of the family: The RFN element is a highly conserved domain that is found frequently in the 5'-untranslated regions of prokaryotic mRNAs that encode for flavin mononucleotide (FMN) biosynthesis and transport proteins. This element is a metabolite-dependent riboswitch that directly binds FMN in the absence of proteins. In Bacillus subtilis, the riboswitch most likely controls gene expression by causing premature transcription termination within the 5' untranslated region of the ribDEAHT operon and precluding access to the ribosome-binding site of ypaA mRNA. Lineage: Bacteria; Bacillati; Bacillota; Clostridia; Eubacteriales; Oscillospiraceae. The record is from RNAcentral.
UGUCUUCGGGGCGGAGUGAAAUUCUCCACCGGCGGUAAAAGUCCGCGAACAGGCGCAAGCCUGCCGAGCCCGUGGAAUUCGGGCACCGACGGUCACAGUCCGGAUGAAAGAAGAU